Molecule: ribosomal RNA, 499 nt
Filed under: uncultured bacterium
Lineage: Bacteria
Description: partial 16S ribosomal RNA
Rfam family: Bacterial small subunit ribosomal RNA
Source: RNAcentral
AUUGAACGCUGGCGGCAUGCCUUACACAUGCAAGUCGAACGGCAGCACGGGUGCUUGCACCUGGUGGCGAGUGGCGAACGGGUGAGUAAUACAUCGGAACGUACCUUAUCGUGGGGGAUAACGCAGCGAAAGCUGUGCUAAUACCGCAUACGCCCUGAGGGGGAAAGCGGGGGAUCGCAAGACCUCGCGCGAUUAGAGCGGCCGAUGCCUGAUUAGCUUGUUGGUGGGGUAAAAGCACCAAGGCGACGAUCAGUAGCUGGUCUGAGAGGACGAUCAGCCACACUGGGACUGAGACACGGCCCAGACUCCUACGGGAGGCAGCAGUGGGGAAUUUUGGACAAUGGGGGCAACCCUGAUCCAGCAAUGCCGAGUGAGUGAAGAAGGCCUUCGGGUUGUAAAGCUCUUUUGUCAGGGAAGAAACACCGGCUCUAACACAGUCCGGGAAUGACGGUACCUGAAGAAUAAGCACCGGCUAACUACGUGCCAGCCGCCGCCGUAA